UCACUAUACAUUCCACCAAGUAUGACAUAAUUCCUUAUUUGGGCCUUGACUUCUUUUUUUUCUCCACCCUCUCUUUGCCAGAUAAGGUGCCGUGUGUUUCCCUGCUACUCUUCCCUGAGGGAACCUGGCCUUGGCAUGAAACCUGCCUGCCUGGGUAAUCGACUGCUGCACGAGGGGGAGACAUACCUUUGAUGUCUCUGGACUGGUGGGAUUCACUCGAAGAGAGAAGAGGACGUUGGCAGCAUGUGAGUGUCUGAGUGGGAUUCAGCCAGGCCAGCACUGGUGAUUUAAAGCAAGGCUUCCAGCAUCUAGCAGCACUAGUCCAGAGUCUCCUGUUGGUGUCCAACAUUGUCCGUCCCAAGCACAGGUCGCCACGGUGACGGAAAGCCAUGCCAGGUUUCGGUAACUUCAAUGAACUGCCCUGAUGGAGUGAGCUGACCAUCAGUCCACUGCCAACCCGAAACCGGACGGUGUGACACACAGAGCCCAAUAACUUCCUCCCUCAGUGCAAACAGUUAGAAUGAGCAAAGCAAAUAAGAUGAGCCAUCCACUGACGGGAUCUGGCUCAAUACCUCACCUCAGACAAACUUAUCCCUGUGUCCACCUCAGUGGUUAUGUGUGUGUUACUUUAAAGUACUAACAUUUAGGUGGAAGCCAGA
Long non-coding RNA from Scophthalmus maximus (turbot), 659 nucleotides. RefSeq lists it as uncharacterized. The record is from RefSeq and is a predicted model, not a curated record. The transcript has 3 exons. NCBI's taxonomy places the organism in Eukaryota, Metazoa, Chordata, Actinopteri, Pleuronectiformes, Scophthalmidae.